CGAGUCUGGUCCUCUUCAUCCUUCUCCAAGUUAUCUUGUUGGGUUAGUGACAGCCUCCGGCCUUUCUUGAGCCAAGAGUUUGGGUGGAGGCCUAUACAGCCUUUUAAGGUCCCCCAAGUGUGUGGUUCUUUAGGUGGGGAGCCUUUUGCACAAGUCCCCAGGUCUGGAUGUCCGCCGGAGGUCAGAGCAGAGCUUAUGGUGGAGGGUGCUGAGGGUAAAGAAGAGGGAACAGAUGCAGAGGAGGGGUUGUAGGGCAGAUUUGUCUUGGUUGGGUACUGCCCCCGUCUCGUUGCCCAGGUGUGACCAGUGCUGAGGGACUGCAGGGAGUCGAGAGAGUCCAGGGAGGAGCGGGUUGGUGCAGGGGAGGUGGGAUUAGAGGAGAGGCUGGAGGAGCUCGCUUCCAGAGCUGGUGACCUCAAACCAUGCAGGUUUAACGUGGUCUGACCUCGGAAGUGUGCGUUAGCGAGUGUGUGGCAGUUGGAAAGGUCUUCUUCACAGUCUUCUUCUUCACCGUCUUCAUCCUCACCUGUUAGACCGUCGGUGCUCCCUGAAACGCAUGGCCGAAACUUGGCCAUGUAUGCUAUAGCCGGCUCUGAACGCCGCCGCCGUCUGUGCCGACCAUCCAGGGACAGCGAGUCCAGGUUGGGUGAGGUGUCCGCUGCCAACGCAUCUUUGCUAGGGCUGGUGAGUUCUGGGUCUUGUCUCCUGCCUCUGGUUCUCCCCAGCGGGUGCAACUUUAGACCCUGCAGACUCUCAUCUUGGGUCUGGUGUGCAUCUGGGUCUGUGUCCUGGUCGUAGUCGCUGAAUGUGAGGAUGGAGUCCAGGCUGCCUUGUAGUGGUUUGGGUCUAAGGGGCCUUCUGCUGCAGUAGCCUGGUGACCCACCGCUGCUGUUGUCUAACUCGUUCUCUAGGCUGUCGUAGGAUGAGUCAGUCAGAGGGUACUGCCAGGACUCUGUUGGUCCGGGGUAAGGACGAAGAGUUGACGCACAAGGAAAGAGGAGGAUGACAGACACAAACUGUUUUUACAGAAUGUUGCAAAUGGGGAAACAAAAUUUGCAACUGAAAGCCACAAAAUACUUGAUGCAGAAUGUUCUUGUGGAGAUUUCAGUGACAUUAAUAUACACCUUUUAAUGAAACCAUGAAUAAAAAUCACAUUUUCCACGUUCUAAUCCUGCUGUGAAAAUAUUUCUUGUUAUAUGCCAAACAUACGUCCAAAUAAAUUUCGACAUCAAAAUGCCUCUUUUCUCUUCCUGUUAAAAUAUUUGAUAACUCAUCUCAACUUGGGGCGACUAGCCAUUAGCUCAUGGGUCACAAUAGCAUAACAGGUAGGAACAUCAUGGGUCAGAGGUGUGUGUUUGGAUCAUUUAGUUUCAAAAGAUUUACACAGCUCAACUACAGUACAUGUGUCCAUAUUGGUUAAAGGACUAUUCUAAAUGUAUGCGGGAAGUAAAGACCUGUAACUGUCUUGACUUGAACACACAGUUUGUCAUGUUUCAGUUCUGUACCUGAUCCGAACUCAUCAGUGUUGGGUCUUUGUGGCGGCCCUCCAAACAGGGCGGAGGGAUCCUCUCCCAGAAUCUGCUGACAGUGUUCGAUCAUAAACUUCACCAGCUCACAAACCUGCAGCAGAGAAGAGGAAGAGCGUUAAUAGUAGUUUUAGCAUUUGUCAGAGUUCAAACAUUUCAAGGCUGCGUGGAAGCACUUUGACACUCUUAUCUCCUGCCUGCAUCAUUUCUGAGCAGUUUCAAGGGCUACCAGGCGCUCCAGGAGGCCAAAGCAUGCUGGGAGCGAUGCACACCGAUAAAUUGAAACUCGUCAUCUGGUUCUCGUGGGCGUUGCCCUGGAUACCGAGCAGCAUGGCCAACAGCACAUCCAUCCACUCUUCAUGCAGCUCACAACACAACAAGCUGCCUGGGAUGCUGCGCAAGAACUCCUGCAAGCAUGCACACAUCAGGAAACCUCACCAGUGUUUUCUUAAGAAGGAAGUUUAAACUCUCCGGAGUCCAGAGAGUCCCGCAGCUCUCUGACAGACCGAGCCCCCGCUGGCCGACGGAAGAUGCCCCGCGUCCACGAACCCUCAUGGUACAGAAACGCCAGCAUGUCCUGGUGAGGGAGAGUACGUGAAAUAAGGGAAACUAAUGUCAGUGAAGCUUGUUGUUGAUAAAAAUAUUACAAUGAAAAACAUUGGGAAAGAAGCGGAAAUGUUCUCAGUUGCUAAAGGGGCGUGUAGGUGUCUGCUGAGCCCCGGCGGGGAAACAAGAGACAAAGUAAAGAGACUGUAGUGAACAAGCUUUGGACCGUCUGUUUGCAGUGGUGCUGAAGAGUAAGGUAUACACUAGCAUCUAAAAAGGACCAUAGUGACAUUUACAGAUUAAUCAUCUUCUUCAUCUCAUUAUAAAACCCUCUAAUAAAAUGACAAAUUUACCUUUAAA
Molecule: long non-coding RNA, 2432 nt
Organism: Micropterus dolomieu (smallmouth bass)
Lineage: Eukaryota; Metazoa; Chordata; Actinopteri; Centrarchiformes; Centrarchidae
Exons: 4
Source: RefSeq, a predicted model, not a curated record